RNAcentral lists this ribosomal RNA (240 nucleotides) under uncultured bacterium. RNAcentral's name for it is "partial 16S ribosomal RNA". It matches the Rfam family "Bacterial small subunit ribosomal RNA", at positions 118 to 344 of the family's 1533-position model. The record is from RNAcentral.
UGGGUAACCUGCCUCAAAGAGGGGAAUAGCCUCCCGAAAGGGAGAUUAAUACCGCAUAAUAUGUUUAGGUCGCAUGACUUUAACAUCAAAGGAUUUUCUUUUAGAAAUUCCACUUUGAGAUGGACCCCGCGGCGCAUUAGCUAGUUGGUGAGGUAACGGCUCACCAAGGCAACGAUGCGUAGCCGACCUGAGAGGGUGAUCGGCCACAUUGGAACUGAGACACGGUCCAGACUCCGUAGG